This 4962-nucleotide long non-coding RNA is filed under the name Piliocolobus tephrosceles (Ugandan red Colobus). RNAcentral describes it as "lncRNA (ENSPTEG00000005151.1)". The record is from RNAcentral. Lineage: Eukaryota; Metazoa; Chordata; Mammalia; Primates; Cercopithecidae.
UAAUGAUUAUAUAACAGAAAAUGUUUUAAAAGUUAUAUUAAAUAUAAAAGAGGAAAAAAUAAGUUUAGAGCAUUUUAAAAAUUAUUUUACUAACUUAAAUUACGAUGUUCAGAUUGAAAAUAUACAAUUCUUAUAUGAUUGUAUUUAUAAAUAUCGUUUGAAUCAGGCUGAUAAAAAUAGUGACAAGUAUGCAGAUGUGUCAGAUGUAAAUGUGAAUGUAAAAGAAACAGGUGGAGACGAAGUAUACAUAACUGUUAACGACAUCCAGAAUUAUAUAAUCAGUAGGAAUGCUAAAAAUAGUAAUUAUUUUAAUAAAGUUAUUAAAAUGAUUAUACACUUUAAUAAUAUUAUUAUAAUUAUGUUAAAUAGUAAUAAAACUGAAACAAUAGAUAAAAUCUUAUUUGAAUUACUAUCAAUAAAAUUUGCAUCUGUAUUUAAUGACAUAUUAAAAUUACCUAAUGAUAUAGAUAAUUUAAUAAAGCACUUAAACGAAAUUAUACAGUUAAUUUUAUCUGAUGAAUCGAAAGACCAUAAUUUAAAAAAAAUAAUAUGUAAAUACUUGAACAGUCAGGGUAUAUUAAUCAAAAAACAUGACAUUUUAGCACAGUUAAAUGGAGUAAAACCUACGAAGUGGGAAGGUCUAAAAAUGGAUUGUGUCGAAGAACAAAAUAGUCAGUCUAGUGAUAAAACGAAACAGAAUAGUAGUUUUUCUGUAGGUGAUGUUGCAACCUCUCAAACGGACUAUAGUGCAAACCAAUCAAAAAAACAGAUAACUUCAAAAAAUGUUAUUACUCGUAAUAAUAAAGUAAUUGAAAAUAGUAGUGGAAUCUGUAGCAGUGGUACAAGUAGCUAUAGCAAUGGUACUAUUAAAACAGGUAAUAUUAAAAAGACAAAAAAGAAAUCAACGAGUAGUGCUAACAAGGACUCUGAGAACAACACACGCCUUUUAACGAACAACAUGAUAGGAGUACUAAAUGAUAAAAAAGAAAACGCUGUAAAUGAAAAUACAAAAAAAAGUUUAACAGGUACUAAAAAAAAAAAAAAAAAUAUAAUAGUAAAUAAUAAUCAAACACUAAACGAUUUUGUUAUUUCAAGAGGCGUGGAUAAUCAAAACCAAGCUGCUAACAACAGUAGUACUGCUAGUGUCAAAGGUAGCAGUAACAAAAGUGUUCAGAGUAGUAGUAACGAUAGCAUAGGUAGUGGUAUAAGUAGUGGCAUAGGCAGUGGUAUAAGUAGUGGUAUAGGCAUUGGUAUAAGUAGUGGUAUAGGUAGUGGUGUAAAAGGUAACAUACGAAACGGAUGCAAUAAAGGGAGUGUUAAAACUAGUAGUAACGAAAGCAUAAAAAGUAGUAUCAAAUCGAGAAACAAAUACAGUGUCAGUGGCAGUCUGAAGGAUAGCGUGAGAAGCGACACCAGUAACCGCACCAUAAAGGAGAAAAUGAAGGAAAAUGAAAACAAGACUAACAACCAAAAUUUAAAAAGUCAGAAUAACAUGAUAAGUAGCAACAAAAAAAGUGAUAAACAAGAGAAUGAAAAAAAUGUUAAAAACACUAUUACUAAUUUAAACAAAAAUGUUGAAAAAGUGAAAGAAGACUCAAAAAAGAAAAAUGUAUUAAAAGAAGAAUCAAAUGCAACUGCAACUGCAGAAACAGAAACUGAUAAAGUAAAAAAAACAAAAAAAAAUGCACAAGUAGCAACUAAUGGUGAUAAAAAAUUGGACAAACAUUUUACAUGUGAAGGUAAUGUGGAAAUGUUAAAAAGUACUAAAAAUAAAAUUAAUAAAGUUGAAAAUGGAGUUAAUCAAGUUGAAAAGGAAGUUGCGGAAGUACACACAAAUGUGGGGAUGAGUGUAAAUUUAAAUCAUAAAAACAAUGUAAAUAGUGUACAAAAUAAUUAUAAUUACAUAAAAAGUAAUAGUAAUUACCCCAAUAUGCGAAUGUACAGUUUGGUAAACAACACCGAUGCAAUGACUGUAGCAGCAGGAGGUGUCCUUAAUAGUACCAGCAGCGUAUUUACAAGCGAGCCAUAUAGACACUCUUUCAGUACAAAUCACAAAAAUAUUCUCACGACACAACAUACUAAGCUUUACCCACCGAACCCUAUGGUAUACAAAAAAGGGUUUCCUAUUGUGUUAUCUAAUACUAGCAAUUUAAAAAAAAAUAGUUUAAGCAGUACGGGUAAAUAUGGUAAUAAGACUCAACAAAAAGUCUUUGGUGGAAAUUUAUCUACUCACAGUGAUACUCAUAGGGAUACGCAUAACUAUACAUACCAUCACCAUAAUAGUAAUAAUGUUUGUAGCAAUAUGCACAGUAAUGAUAAAUAUGCCGUUAACAACGUAAGUAAGUCUAAUGAUGCAAAAUCAAAAAUAAAGCAUAACAAUAGUAAUAAUAUAAAUAACAUAGUAGAACAUAGUUAUUUAUGGAAUGGUUCAAAUAAUGUAAAUAUAAAUAAGCAACAUACUGACAUAUUGGAUUAUAAUUAUGUUAUUAAUAACAAUACAAGAAAUAUACAUGACAACUCAAAUAGUGAAAACCGAAGUGGUAGUAAUAGUAAAAAUAAUAAUGUGAGUCCGCAAAUCAUACAAAAUUAUACGAACCAAAUAGAAAGUACAAAAGACACAAGUUCAUUAUCUAAUCAACAUAAAAUGCUAAACAUAAAUUCGAACAAAUCGAAUAUAACAGGAAAUACAAGAGCAGUGAUAUCUGAAAAUACUAAUGAUCAUAAACAUAUAUUUACGAAGAAUGUACCAAUGUAUAAUAAUACCCAGAAAGGGGUCACAAAACAGAAUAUUCAAAUGGGUGACGUUAGUAGUAAUACUAAUAUGAUUAACAAAAUUGACUCGAACACGAACAUGCGUACAAACACGAACACAAGUAAGAGCACAGAACAUUACACAUUAAAAAGUAAUGAUAUGAUGAAUAAUCUAUAUAAAAUGAAAAAUAUACCGUUACCUUAUUUGAAUCAUGAUAAAAAUGUAAUUAUGUUUGAAAAUGGAAUGUAUAAACAUGGUUACAACAAAAUGAUAAGUAGUAGUGGUGCGACAAAUGUGGCAGUCAACAAUGAUACAACAAAUGUUGUAAACAACAACAAUAUGUUUUUCAGUUUCAAACGCAAAAUUAAUAAUGCAAACGAUAAAACUAAUACACCGAUGCAAAAAGCAAAGGAACCACGUGCACAUACAAGUACAAGUAAGAAUCUAUUUGUAAGUCCUACUAACGAUUUAACUAAUAAAAAUAUAAAUAAGAAAGGAGAAGUUAAUUAUAACGAUAGUGUAAAAAUUGCACUAGCUAAUUUCGAAAGCAAUUUAACGAAACCAACCAACCUAAAAACAGUUAUAAGUAGUAAGAGAACAGGUUAUGAUGACAACAACCACAACAAGGCAGAUACAGCCAAUAACGUAUUAAACGUAGAAGUACAAAAUGAAAAAAAAAAAAAUGCUUACAGUCGCUUUACCGAAAUGAUUACAAAUAAAAUAAAAAACUUUACUUUACGAACUAAUAAAUUAGAAGUGCAUAGUGAACCUAAAAAAAAUAGUCUAUUGUCUAACAGUAAUAAUCAUAACGAAACAAAUGAUCAUAACAGAAAUAUUAGAAGUGGCAAUAGUUCCGAAAUAUGUAAGGACAAUGGGGGUAAUAAUAAUAAUAAUAAUAAUAAUAAUAAUAAUAAUAAUAAUAGUAGUAGUAAUGAUAAUAAGAGUAACAGUGGUCCGAUCCAAGCAAGCAUUAACAAAAGUAUAAACACAAACAUAAACACAAACGUAAACACAAACGUAAACACAAACGUAAACAAAAACGUAAACAAAAACGUAAGUAACAGUAACCGUGCUAGCUACAGUUUUGGUAGUUGUAACAAUAAAGAUAAAACUGCUACUUCCUUUAUGAAUCCAGUAAAUGUAAUACAAAAUAAUCGUACCCUAGUAACAGGUGGUACAAUUGCAAGUGCAAAUAGAGUGGUAAACAAUGCGUUGAAAGAAAAGAAGGGACAAGUACAACCACAAGUGCAAAUCCAAAUUAAGAACAAUACAGAACCAAAUGCUACGAUAAUAACAAAUAAAAGUAACACGAACAAUAAUAAAGAAACGAAUACAAAAUCAAUAGCCGAAAAUAAUUUAAAAAAUACAGCGAACCAUUUAUACACCGUAAAAAACAAGACAGUAGGAGUUGAUGACAUGAACAAAUCGAGCAAUAUAUAUAAUAAUAAUAAUAAUAAUAAUACCUUGCGAACAUAUAAUAACGCUUACAAUGAUAAACAAAACAUAAGGAAUGAUAGAAAAGAUAGCUAUCCAAUAGUAAAUACAGUUGGUUGUGCACAACAAAAUAUAAUAAAAAACAUGAACAACAAAAAUACACAACAUGUGGCUUGUAAAAAAAUGAAUGUACCUUACUAUCCCCACUUUCAAAAACGUAAUAGUAAUUAUUUACAUGAAUCCAAUUCAUAUACAAAACGUAAUGAUAAAAAGAAUGCACAAUUAAAAAUCAACGAACAAAAUAAUGAAACAAAUAUGAACAUUUUAAAAACUAAUAAAAUGUAUUUUCCGAAUGACUCGAUGAUGAUCAAUCAACAGCCUGUCUUUAUGGGUAAUCAAAAUAAAAAUUUUGUUGAAAAUUCUGUUAAUACUAAAAUGGGCAUAAAUAAUUAUAUUAGUAGUAAUCUUGUCGGUACGAGUCAUGUUGGUGCUUAUGCUGUCCCUGCAAAUGUGGCUAGAGCAAAUGUGGCUAAAGCAAAUGUGGCUAACGUAAAUGUGGCUAACACAAAUGUGGCUAACACAAAUGUGGCUAACACAANNNNNNNNNNGUGGCUAACACAAAUGUGGCUAACACAAAUGUGGCUAACACAAAUGUAGAUAAUACUAAUUCUCCAAAAUCCACUUCCUUACAUAAAUUAAAACAAGUAUCAAACAGUUUCAAUACAUAUACUGGGAAAACAAAUAUAGACAAUAAUAAAAACAUCUUAAAUACAACA